UGGCGCUUAAGGCUGACUGCCUUAUGCGGAGUCUCUGAUAUAGCCGGUUGCAGUAAAACGGUAAUAAGCGGUGAAGUACAGAAUGUGGUAAGGCAGAAAGAAUAAAGCCCCGUAGUUAAUUUUCAUUAAUCCACGAGGCCUACUCUAUGCCAAACAACAUCAGAGUAGCCGCUUAUCUGCCGCGAGGCAAGGAGAUACCGGCCAUG
Molecule: antisense RNA, 206 nt
Filed under: Shimwellia blattae DSM 4481 = NBRC 105725
Lineage: Bacteria; Pseudomonadati; Pseudomonadota; Gammaproteobacteria; Enterobacterales; Enterobacteriaceae
Description: Escherichia blattae DSM 4481 sok antitoxin (CssrC)
Rfam family: sok antitoxin (CssrC)
About the family: Also identified in Shigella as CssrC.
Source: Rfam by way of RNAcentral